Molecule: ribosomal RNA, 502 nt
Filed under: uncultured bacterium
Lineage: Bacteria
Description: partial 16S ribosomal RNA
Rfam family: Bacterial small subunit ribosomal RNA
Source: RNAcentral
GACGAACGCUGGCGGCGUGCUUAACACAUGCAAGUCGAACGGUGAAGGGGUCUGCUUUUGUGGGCCCUGGAUGAGUGGCGCACGGGUGAGUAACACGUGAGUAACCUGCCCCCUUCUUCUGGAUAACCGCAUGAAAGUGUGGCUAAUACGGGAUAUUCUGGGUCUGUCGCAUGAUGGGUCUGGGAAAGAUUGCGCCUUUGGGUGUUUUUGGUGGGGGAUGGGCUCGCGGCCUAUCAGCUUGUUGGUGGGGUGAUGGCCUACCAAGGCGGUGACGGGUAGCCGGCCUGAGAGGGUGGACGGUCACACUGGGACUGAGACACGGCCCAGACUCCUACGGGAGGCAGCAGUGGGGAAUAGUGCACAAUGGGCGCAAGCCUGAUGCAGCGACGCCGCGUGAGGGAUGGAGGCCUUCGGGUUGUAAACCUCUUUCGCCAGUGAAGCAGGCCUGCUCCGUGUGGGUGGGUUGACGGUAGCUGGAGAAGAAGCGCCGGCUAACUACGUG